RNAcentral lists this long non-coding RNA (627 nucleotides) under Salvia miltiorrhiza (redroot sage). Its description in RNAcentral is "long non-coding RNA (SMIL_LNC010842)". Lineage: Eukaryota; Viridiplantae; Streptophyta; Magnoliopsida; Lamiales; Lamiaceae. The record is from RNAcentral.
CAAUUUCAACUGCAAAGCAUCGAUAUUCUUGGAGCUCUCGUUUAGCUGGGUGAUCUUCUUCACCAAGUGAUUGGCCAUGAAAGGGAUUAGCCAGGUGCUACCAGAGCCGCUGUAGAGGCGAAGAACAAGGUGGAGCUUGGAUUCAAUUUCGAUGCAGCUGGGUUUGGUUUGAGAAGAUGGUUGAAAGAUUUGGGUGCAUAUCUCGACGCCCCCUGCCUUCGCCGAAGUCGUCGUCCCCGCCCGCGCCCUCGGCGACCUCGCCGCCUCGCCAUGGACGCCCCUGCACUCGCCCUCACUUUCUCCCCAAAUUUCACCAAAUCUCUCGGUAGGUUUGUGAGUUUGGGAUCAGCAAUUGGAGCCAUGGUGGUGGUUUUCUUGUGAAGAAAAAAAGGAGUUUUCAUUCCAAAAAGCAAGUCUUUACAACAGUUGAGUUUUCUGUAAAACUAUUUCAAAUUUACAAACCUACAGAGAGAGGAGGUGGCAGACUGCGAGGCUCUGCCGUCCAUGGAAACGGAGGCUCCGGGAGAGGUGGCUGCCGAAGUUCUUGCUGCCAACAGCAGGACCCGACGGCGGCGCUCCUCCAGCGAGCCGCUGACCGUCGAUCUCAGGCAGCAGCAGUGGCCGUCA